AGAUAAUAGAUACCCAGGUAGUCCAUGCCGUAAACGUUGGGAACUAGGUGUGGGUCUCAUUCCACGAGAUCCGUGCCGCAGCUAACGCAUUAAGUUCCCCGCCUGGGGAGUACGGCCGCAAGGCUAAAACUCAAAGGAAUUGACGGGGGCCCGCACAAGCGGCGGAGCAUGCGGAUUAAUUCGAUGCAACGCGAAGAACCUUACCAAGGCUUGACAUAUGCGAGAACGCGGCAGAGAUGUCGUUCUCUUUGGACACUCGCAUACAGGUGGUGCAUGGUUGUCGUCAGCUCGUGUCGUGAGAUGUUGGGUUUAAGUCCCGCAACGAGCGCAACCCUCGUUCUAUGUUGCCAGCACGUGAUGGUGGGGACUCAUAGGAGACUGCCGGGGUCAACUCGGAGGAAGGUGGGGAUGACGUCAAAUCAUCAUGCCCCUUAUGUCUUGGGCUUCACGCAUGCUACAAUGGCCGGUACAAAGGGCUGCGAUACCGCGAGGUGGAGCGAAUCCCAAAAAACCGGGUCUCAGUUC
RNAcentral lists this ribosomal RNA (525 nucleotides) under uncultured bacterium. RNAcentral describes it as "bacterial SSU rRNA". It matches the Rfam family "Bacterial small subunit ribosomal RNA", at positions 775 to 1294 of the family's 1533-position model. The record is from RNAcentral.